Molecule: ribosomal RNA, 180 nt
Filed under: Synechococcus sp. KORDI-19
Lineage: Bacteria; Bacillati; Cyanobacteriota; Cyanophyceae; Synechococcales; Synechococcaceae
Description: partial 23S ribosomal RNA
Rfam family: Bacterial large subunit ribosomal RNA
Source: RNAcentral
GGUCAAGCUACAAAGGGCUCACGGUGGAUACCUUGGCACACAGAGGCGAUGAAGGACGUGGUUACCUGCGAUAAGUCUCGGGGAGCUGGAAGCACGCUUUGAUCCGGGAAUUUCCGAAUGGGGCAACCCCUAGUACGGCCAGCUGAAUCCAUAGGCUGGCGCGAGCCAACCCAGCGAACU